GGAAAAGGCCAAUAGAUCCCCGUGUAUUCGGUGAUGAUAACAAUCUUGUUGGAUGGGCAAAGCAACUUCAUAACGAUAAACAAAGUCACGAGAUUCUUGAUCCUGAGCUAAUAACAAAUCUAUCUGGUGAUGCUGAACUCUAUCAUUACUUGAAAGUUGCAUUUGAAUGCCUUGAUGAGAAAUCUUACAAAAGGCCAACAAUGAUACAAGUGAUGACCAAGUUUAAAGAAGUACAAACUGAUUCAGAAAGCGAUAUUCUUGAUGGCAUUUCAGUGAAAGGUUCUAUACUCGAGGAAUCGCAAGAAAGGGAACCGUAAAUCAAUGAUAUUUGAUCUUUUUGUGGUUAGAAUUCUCUUCUUUUUUUCUCUUUU
RNAcentral lists this unclassified non-coding RNA (371 nucleotides) under Hevea brasiliensis (rubber tree). Lineage: Eukaryota; Viridiplantae; Streptophyta; Magnoliopsida; Malpighiales; Euphorbiaceae. The record is from RNAcentral.